Molecule: non-coding RNA, 108 nt
Organism: Ricinus communis (castor bean)
Lineage: Eukaryota; Viridiplantae; Streptophyta; Magnoliopsida; Malpighiales; Euphorbiaceae
Source: Rfam
GUAUCCAUGGUGUGGGCAUUGCAAUUAAAAUGAUUUGAAGUGAUCCCAUGCUUCAUAAAAAGACUCGGUAUCCUUUUGAUAAAAGCUAAACAAUUCAACUCUUAAUUC